Molecule: transfer RNA, 75 nt
Filed under: Nocardioides sp.
Lineage: Bacteria; Bacillati; Actinomycetota; Actinomycetes; Propionibacteriales; Nocardioidaceae
Description: tRNA-Val
Rfam family: tRNA
About the family: Transfer RNA (tRNA) molecules are approximately 80 nucleotides in length.
Source: RNAcentral
GCGUCGGUAGCUCAGCGGUAGAGCACUCGGCUUACACCCGAGCGGUCGGCGGUUCGAAACCGUCCCGACGCACCA